This is a long non-coding RNA of Heterocephalus glaber (naked mole-rat), 526 nucleotides long. The record is from Ensembl. NCBI's taxonomy places the organism in Eukaryota, Metazoa, Chordata, Mammalia, Rodentia, Bathyergidae.
CAGGGACAUACAGACUUUUAUAACCCUGGUGCUUGGUAUUUUUCAAGGCAGAGAAACUAUUCUGUAUGAUAAUUGAAUGGCUGAAUACAUGUAAUUUUACAUUUGUCUAAAUCUAAAUAUUCACAGUUACUGUACUCUAAUGUCAACUUAAAAUUCAUUUAAUUUAAUUUAAUUAAUUUAUUUUUGGUACCAGGGAUCGUACUUGGGACCUUGUGCUUGUGAGGGAGGCACCACUGAGCUAAAUCCGCAGCCCUUAAAAUUCGUUUUAAAUUGAUGAGUCAUUGAAUCAUGAAUUAUUUUCAGGCCCCCUGACUGAGACCCCUGCCCAACUGAGAGAGAAAAAGCCCCAAAAGACGCAUUGCCUGCAAGAAAAGAGAUAAUAGGAAGCCAGCUACUGCCUUGCUCAUUCACACCUGCAAGGAGACUGACUCUCUGAAAAACCACAAGGCACCCGCCUUACCUUGCUGUACCUGCCAUCGCCCUGCUACCCUCACCCCGUCCUGUUCAUCAGUCUUAAGCCUGUCAC